GGAACAGUCAGUGCUUAGAGGAGAUGCCUGUGAGAAACAUCGAGGGGGUAUGAAAUUCUGGAGAUACAGAAUCCUUGCACUAUAAUGAUAAUAGAACUCUUGUGCUAUAUAAGACAGCACACAUUAGUCAGCAGAUGUGUGGCAUCCCUUGAGAACUGGACUUAUGUAUUGGAAAGUCAUUUCCUGAGUGAGAGACUCCUUAUGCUGAGCUGAGGUGCUGGAAACUCCAGGUGUUCCUGCUCUGCAUAUUUCCAGGCCUUUAUUCCCACUGCAGCGGGACAGCCGCUUGUCACACAACAGCAUUUUCUUUAUUUCACUUGAGCAAUAGCAAAAUAUUGCACCUGCUGCCUAUGCUGCUUUUGAUAAAUCUGUGGUUUCUGGGUUGCCAGUGCUCAUUGCUGGGUCAUGUUGAACUUCUCAUCCACCAACACCCCCAGUCCUUUUCCCAGGGCUGCUCUCAAUCCCUUCACUGCCCAGCCUCUACCUGUGCUUGGGGUUGCCCUGACCCAGGUGCACAGCCUUGAACCUGGCCUUGUUGAACUUCAAGUGGCAAAUCUCCUCAACUGCAGUGCUUGAAGCAGCAGAAGCCUCAGUGGCUUCAAAUACCUCCACUGCCGGUGCAGAGCCACAUCCAAAGAACAGGACAUAUAUUCAUGGGACAUCUUCCUUAGGAAUGGAGUGGAAAUCUGGUUCUCUUUAUAUUCUCACUUUAAAAAAAAAGGAUUCUUAUAAGGAAUGGCACAAACAGCUGAAGCAGGAGGACUGAACAGUAUCUUGACUUAAAAGCUGCUGUUUCAAGGUGAGAGCAUGUUUGCUCGUGGGUCAGAUUCAGCAGCAGUGCUCUGGCCAGCCAUUCCAUCUGACUCUGUUGUCAAUAAAGGGUUAGACGCAACAAGACAGUCCCCUGCAAUUGAAAUGGACAUUAGUGCAGAAGAAUUCCGAGAUGUAUGAAAAGAAUUGUAGCUUAUUCUGGAGCAACUGUCGUUCAUGUUAAUGUUCCUACAUCCUGUGCAGCAAAGAAACUGUCAUCCUCACAGGACUCGUGUACUGUUGCAUAAGUCCAUGCUUGAUGUUGAUCUUGUAUUUAAAUGCAUUGCUGAAGCUGGUGGUGUUUGGAUAAGACCAACAAGGAAUUGUUGAUAUAGAAGAAAAUUUGAGUGAUAGUUCUUGUUGUAGUGUUAGAAGUACUGUGUUGAUUCCAGUGAUAUUCAUGAAAAAUCAAUAAAUGCUCUAUAAUGGGCCAAAUUCAAACAAACAACCAAACAACACCGCCCUCAAAAAAAAAAAAAAAACCAAAAACCAAAAAACUCAGAACAACCAAACCCCAUUACACACAACAAAAACUCCACAAAUCCAAACCAGACUAGAAUCCAUUAAAACUUAGAAGAAACUAAAAAAA
Long non-coding RNA from Zonotrichia leucophrys gambelii, 1399 nucleotides. RefSeq lists it as uncharacterized. Lineage: Eukaryota; Metazoa; Chordata; Aves; Passeriformes; Passerellidae. The record is from RefSeq and is a predicted model, not a curated record. The transcript is spliced from 2 exons.